GUGGAUUAGAUACCCUGGUAGUCCACGCCGUAAACGAUGGAUACUAGCUGUUGGGGGCAACUUCAGUGGCUAAGCGAAAGUGAUAAGUAUCCCACCUGGGGAGUACGAACGCAAGUUUGAAACUCAAAGGAAUUGACGGGGGCCCGCACAAGCGGUGGAGCAUGUGGUUUAAUUCGAUGAUACGCGAGGAACCUUACCAAGGCUUAAAUGUAGAUUGACAGGACUGGAAACAGUUUUUUCUUCGGACAAUUUACAAGGUGCUGCAUGGUUGUCGCCAGCU
RNAcentral lists this ribosomal RNA (280 nucleotides) under uncultured bacterium. RNAcentral's name for it is "partial 16S ribosomal RNA". It matches the Rfam family "Bacterial small subunit ribosomal RNA", at positions 773 to 1060 of the family's 1533-position model. The record is from RNAcentral.